GUCGAGAAUCUUUCACAAUGGGGGCAACCCUGAUGGAGCGACGCCGCGUGGAGGAUAAGGUCUUCGGAUUGUAAACUCCUGUCAUGCGUGAACAAGGUCGCUUGGUUAAUACCUGGGCAAAUUGAUGGUAACGCAAGAGGAAGAGACGGCUAACUCUGUGCCAGCAGCCGCGGUAAUACAGAGGUCUCAAGCGUUGUUCGGAAUCACUGGGCGUAAAGGGUGCGUAGGUGGCGUGGUAAGUCAGAUGUGAAAGCCCGGGGCUCAACCACGGAACUGCAUCCGAUACUGCCAUGCUAGAGUACUGGAGAGGUGACUAGAAUUCUCGGUGUAGCAGUGAAAUGCGUAGAUAUCGAGAGGAAUACCAAAGGCGUAGGCAGGUCACUGGACAGUUACUGACACUGAGGCACGAAGGCCAGGGGAGCGAACGGGAUUAGAUACCCGUGUAGUCC
This 449-nucleotide ribosomal RNA is filed under the name uncultured bacterium. Its description in RNAcentral is "partial 16S ribosomal RNA". It matches the Rfam family "Bacterial small subunit ribosomal RNA", at positions 354 to 796 of the family's 1533-position model. The record is from RNAcentral.